CUUCCCUUCCCAGGCCGCAGCUGUCCUUUGUGGGGCGUCCAGGGUUCGCCCACAUCCACCUCCGCGCUGGGCACCUGGUGGUGCUUACAUCGCGUUUGGUGAAACGCAUCCUCCAGCCAUGCUAUGCUUGCAAAGAUGUCUCUGGUCAUUGGGAAGGACGGCAGCUUGGGAAGGUGAGAUGCUGUUGGCGCUGGACAGAAAGGAUGAGGAGGGGGACAGUGCAGCUGGGGCGAAAACUUCAGGUCUGUGUUGGGGCCAGCGUGGGUGGGGAACUGUGGCACAGGGUCUCAUGGUUAUCAAGGAUCUCAUAGCCUGGGCAGUGUCUCACGCCUGUAAUCCCAGCACUUCAGGAAGCCAAGGCGUGCAGAUCGCCUGAGGCCAAGAGUCCGAGAACAACCUGGGCAACGUAACCUUCGUCUCUACAAAAAAUACAAAAAUUAGCUGGGCGCGCGCCUGCGGUCCCAGCUACUGGGGAGGCUGGGGUGGGAGGAUCGCUGGAGCCCAGGAGGUCGAGGCUGCAGUGAGUCAUGAUCAAGCCACGGCCCUUCAGCCUGGGUGACAGAGCGAGACUCCGUCCCAAAAGAAAAAAAAAAAAGGAUCUCAUGGUGAUCAGCUUCCAAGAUACAAAUGAACCCUCCCCAGGACAGGAUGCAUGUACUGCUAUUUCAGAGGAGUUGAGGCAGCUGCCAGGUCCCCUCCUGCGUGGAGAGGCAGAUGCCAAGUGACAGCUCAGGAACUAAACAGUGACCAAGCCCCAGCCCCUGUCCAUGCCCAGGCUGCGGUUGGCUUCUGUGGCUUGGUUUCCCUCUGUCCCCCCUUGAUAAGCUCGCCUGGAUGCCUUUGACCUAGCUGGCCGUUCUACCAGUCCUGCCCUGCCCCCUUUCUCUGUUUGACAAAUCAUAUUCCCCCUUCAAAGCACAGCUUAAAUGUCCCUGCUUUUCCCUUGAGUGCAGGAAUGUGGGUGUUGGGGGAGGUUGUGGUCUGUAUGGUGAGACCACUGUUCUGCGGGAGAGAAGUGCCACAUACGAUCUUGUUCCUAUCCCCUAAGGGACCCAGUGCAAUGCUUGGCAGAGGGUAGACAUCCAGUAAUAUUUGUUGAAUGAAUGAAUGAACUUACUAAGUUAACAUUACCACCCCUCAACUGUCUUGGUAUCCAUAAUCUUUGAGAAGUGAGUGAACCUUUUUUUAGAGAAGGGGUCUCACUCUGUCACCCAGGCUGGAGUGCAGUGGUGUGAUUACAGCUCACUGCAGCCUCAAACUCCCAGGCUCAAAUGAUCCUCCUGCCUCAGCCUCCAGAGUAGCUGGGACUACGGGCAUGCACCAUGCCCGGCUAAUUUUUUGUGUUUUUUAUAGAGAUGGGGUCUCAUUAUGUUGGGGUCCAGGCUGGUCUUAAACUCUUGGCUUCAGAUGAUCUUCCCACCUCAGCCUCCCAAAGUGCUGGGAUUACAGCUGUGAGCCACCGUGCCUGGCCUAAACAUUUUGACCUCAGUUUCCCCAUCUGUAAAUUGGGGAGAGUGUUUCAAUUCAGUUCAGCGAACAUGCAAUGCUGUAAUGAUGGAGGCUGGGCAUGGGGUCAGCCCUGAGGGGGUGCCCAGUUGGUGUGGAGAGCCAGACUUGGAGACUAAUAAGGGAGGAG
Molecule: long non-coding RNA, 1636 nt
Filed under: Homo sapiens (human)
Lineage: Eukaryota; Metazoa; Chordata; Mammalia; Primates; Hominidae
Description: HSALNT0341536
Source: RNAcentral